GAACCAGCGGAGGGAUCAUUACCGAGUUUACAACUCCCAAACCCAAUGUGAACGUUACCAAACUGUUGCCUCGGCGGGAUCUCUGCCCCGGGUGCGUCGCAGCCCCGGACCAAGGCGCCCGCCGGAGGACCAACCAAAACUCUUAUUGUAUACCCCCUCGCGGGUUUUUUACUAUCUGAGCCAUCUCGGCGCCCCUCGUGGGCGUUUCGAAAAUGAAUCAAAACUUUCAACAACGGAUCUCUUGGUUCUGGCAUCGAUGAAGAACGCAGCGAAAUGCGAUAAGUAAUGUGAAUUGCAGAAUUCAGUGAAUCAUCGAAUCUUUGAACGCACAUUGCGCCCGCCAGUAUUCUGGCGGGCAUGCCUGUCCGAGCGUCAUUUCAACCCUCGAACCCCUCCGGGGGGUCGGCGUUGGGGAUCGGCCCUUUACGGGGCCGGCCCCGAAAUACAGUGGCGGUCUCGCCGCAGCCUCUCCUGCGCAGUAGUUUGCACACUCGCAUCGGGAGCGCGGCGCGUCCACAGCCGUUAAACACCCCAAACUUCUGAAAUGUGA
This 550-nucleotide ribosomal RNA is filed under the name fungal sp. ARIZ L438. RNAcentral's name for it is "eukaryotic LSU rRNA". The stretch from base 222 to 375 matches the Rfam family "5.8S ribosomal RNA". Lineage: Eukaryota; Fungi. The record is from RNAcentral.